UUUAUAUCGGUAAUUGUUAUACCAUGCAAGAGUUCUUUAAAAUAAUAAAGAGACAGUAAAACGGGUGUCUUCAUAUAGAAAAUAUGUUACACUCGUUUGCAAAAAAGAAAAAAGAAAAAAAAAAUAUAUAUAUAUACGUGAUUAAUUUUUGUUCAUUUUGAACAUACGUUUUAACUAGCUAGAUAUUAUUGUUAUCAACUAAUAUAUUGUAAAGAUCACUGUUCAAAGAUUAUAACUUAUGGUUUAUGUUAGUAUCAUCUGCGCAACCAUUUGAGUUCAAAACUUCAAAUUCGUCUAAUACAUUCUUCACAGUAUGAAAUUUGGUUAAAACUCAAUAGUUA
RNAcentral lists this long non-coding RNA (341 nucleotides) under Brassica rapa (field mustard). Its description in RNAcentral is "long non-coding RNA (BRAP_LNC004665)". Lineage: Eukaryota; Viridiplantae; Streptophyta; Magnoliopsida; Brassicales; Brassicaceae. The record is from RNAcentral.